RNAcentral lists this ribosomal RNA (239 nucleotides) under uncultured bacterium. RNAcentral's name for it is "partial 16S ribosomal RNA". It matches the Rfam family "Bacterial small subunit ribosomal RNA", at positions 15 to 245 of the family's 1533-position model. The record is from RNAcentral.
GAUCCUGGCUCAGGAUGAACGCUAGCUACAGGCUUAACACAUGCAAGUCGAGGGGCAGCAUGAACUUAGCUUGCUAAGUUUGAUGGCGACCGGCGCACGGUGAGUAACACGUAUCCAACCUUCCGUUUACUCAGGGAUGGCCUUUCGAAAGAAAGAUUAAUACCUGAUAGUAUGGUGAGAUUGCAUGAUAACACCAUUAAAGAUUUAUUGGUAAACCGAUGGGGAUGCGUUCCAUUAGG